CCAAAGCUGAUUCAGCUGAUUUGGUUCUGUGUCCCUGCUAAAGUGGCAUACUUGGUUAAGAGGAUGUGACCUUCCUAAUAAACAAAGGUCUUCAGCCAAGGGACUAAGAGUAGCUUCAGUCCCCUACCAGAACUUCUAAGCAUGCUCUCAAGCAGUCACAGAUUUGGUCAGAGGAAGCCAUUUUAAACUGGCUUCUAUGUCAUUUUGGUGUCUCCAU
RNAcentral lists this small nuclear RNA (217 nucleotides) under Mus caroli (Ryukyu mouse). Its description in RNAcentral is "sRNA (MGP_CAROLIEiJ_G0008691.1)". It matches the Rfam family "7SK RNA". From Rfam's summary of the family: 7SK was discovered as an abundant small nuclear RNA in the mid-70s but a possible function has only recently been suggested. Two independent studies have found that 7SK RNA binds the CDK9/cyclin T complex (known as elongation factor P-TEFb). The record is from RNAcentral. Lineage: Eukaryota; Metazoa; Chordata; Mammalia; Rodentia; Muridae.